CUGGCUCAGGAUGAACGCUAGCUACAGGCUAACACAUGCAAGUCGAGGGGCAGCAGGACGAUAGCUUGCUAUUGUUGCUGGCGACCGGCGCACGGGUGAGUAACGCGUAUCCAACCUUCCCCUUAGUAGGGCAUAGCCCGGUGAAAAUCGGAUUAAUACCCUAUGUUGUGUCAUGAGGACAUCUGAAUAACACUAAAGAUUUAUCGCUAAGGGAUGGGGAUGCGUCCGAUUAGGUAGUCGGCGGGGUAACGGCCCACCGAGCCCUCGAUCGGUAGGGGUUCUGAGAGGAAGGUCCCCCACACUGGUACUGAGACACGGACCAGACUCCUACGGGAGGCAGCAGUGAGGAAUAUUGGUCAAUGGGCGUAAGCCUGAACCAGCCAAGUAGCCGUGCAGGAUGACGGCCCUAUGGGUUGUAAACUGCUUUUAUACGGGGAUAAAGUCGCCCACGUGUGGGUGUUUGUAGGUACCGUAUGAAUAAGGACCGGCUAAUUCCGUGCCAGCCGCUGC
RNAcentral lists this ribosomal RNA (510 nucleotides) under uncultured bacterium. RNAcentral's name for it is "bacterial SSU rRNA". It matches the Rfam family "Bacterial small subunit ribosomal RNA", at positions 19 to 518 of the family's 1533-position model. The record is from RNAcentral.